Unclassified non-coding RNA from Pongo abelii (Sumatran orangutan), 148 nucleotides. It matches the Rfam family "Metazoan signal recognition particle RNA". Rfam says of the family: The signal recognition particle (SRP) is a universally conserved ribonucleoprotein. The record is from Ensembl. Lineage: Eukaryota; Metazoa; Chordata; Mammalia; Primates; Hominidae.
GCCAGGCGUGGUGGCGGGCGCUUGUAAUCCCAGCUACCUGGGAGGCUGAGGCAGGAGAAUUGCUUGAACCCAGGAGGUGGAGGUUGCAGUGAGCUGAGAUCACACCACUGCACUCCAGCCUGGGUGACAGAGCGAGACUCUGUCUCAA